AGUGAACGCUGGCGGUAGGCCUAACACAUGCCAGUCGAACGGCAGCACAGUAAGAGCUUGCUCUUACGGGUGGCGAGUGGCGGACGGGUGAGGAAUACAUCGGAAUCUACUUUUUCGUGGGGGAUAACGUAGGGAAACUUACGCUAAUACCGCAUACGACCUACGGGUGAAAGCAGGGGAUCUUCGGACCUUGCGCGAUUGAAUGAGCCGAUGUCGGAUUAGCUAGUUGGCGGGGUAAAGGCCCACCAAGGCGACGAUCCGUAGCUGGUCUGAGAGGAUGAUCAGCCACACUGGAACUGAGACACGGUCCAGACUCCUACGGGAGGCAGCAGUGGGGAAUAUUGGACAAUGGGCGCAAGCCUGAUCCAGCCAUACCGCGUGGGUGAAGGAGGCCUUCGGGUUGUAAAGCCCUUUUGUUGGGAAAGAAAAGCAGCAGGUUAAUACCCCGCUGUUCUGACGGUACCCAAAGAAUAAGCACCGGCUAACUUCGUGC
Molecule: ribosomal RNA, 493 nt
Filed under: uncultured bacterium
Lineage: Bacteria
Description: partial 16S ribosomal RNA
Rfam family: Bacterial small subunit ribosomal RNA
Source: RNAcentral